RNAcentral lists this transfer RNA (88 nucleotides) under Deltaproteobacteria bacterium. RNAcentral's name for it is "tRNA-Leu". It matches the Rfam family "tRNA". Rfam says of the family: Transfer RNA (tRNA) molecules are approximately 80 nucleotides in length. Lineage: Bacteria; Pseudomonadati; Myxococcota; Myxococcia. RNAcentral also lists the same sequence under 1 other name. The record is from RNAcentral.
GCCGGAGUGGUGGAAUUGGUAGACGCAGAGGACUCAAAAUCCUCCGGGCUUUAUGCUCUUGCGAGUUCAAGUCUCGCCUCCGGUACCA